AGCGAACGCUGGCGGCAGGCCUAACACAUGCAAGUCGAACGAACCUUUCGGGGUUAGUGGCGGACGGGUGAGUAACACGUGGGAACGUGCCUUUAGGUUCGGAAUAACUCAGGGAAACUUGUGCUAAUACCGAAUGUGCCCUUCGGGGGAAAGAUUUAUCGCCUUUCGAGCGGCCCGCGUCUGAUUAGCUAGUUGGUUGAGGUAAUGGCGCACCAAGGCGACGAUCAGUAGCUGGUCUGAGAGGAUGAUCAGCCACAUUGGGACUGAGACACGGCCCAAACUCCUACGGGAGGCAGCAGUGGGGAAUCUUGCGCAAUGGGCGAAAGCCUGACGCAGCCAUGCCGCGUGAAUGAUGAAGGUCUUAGGAUUGUAAAAUUCUUUCACCGGGGACGAUAAUGACGGUACCCGGAGAAGAAGCCCCGGCUAACUUCGUG
RNAcentral lists this ribosomal RNA (434 nucleotides) under uncultured bacterium. RNAcentral describes it as "partial 16S ribosomal RNA". It matches the Rfam family "Bacterial small subunit ribosomal RNA", at positions 29 to 507 of the family's 1533-position model. The record is from RNAcentral.